This 374-nucleotide ribosomal RNA is filed under the name uncultured organism. RNAcentral's name for it is "partial 16S ribosomal RNA". It matches the Rfam family "Bacterial small subunit ribosomal RNA", at positions 527 to 896 of the family's 1533-position model. The record is from RNAcentral.
AUAGGUGGCAAGCGUUGUCCGGAAUUAUUGGGCGUAAAGCGCGCGCAGGCGGGUCCCUUAAGUCUGAUGUGAAAGCCCACGGGCUCAACCGUGGAGGGUCAUUGGAAACUGGGGGACUUGAGUACAGAAGAGGAAAGCGGAAUUCCAAGUGUAGCGGUGAAAUGCGUAGAGAUUUGGAGGAACACCAGUGGCGAAGGCGGCUUUCUGGUCUGUAACUGACGCUGAGGCGCGAAAGCGUGGGGAGCAAACAGGAUUAGAUACCCUGGUAGUCCACGCCGUAAACGAUGAGUGCUAAGUGUUAGGGGGUUUCCGCCCCUUAGUGCUGCAGCUAACGCAUUAAGCACUCCGCCUGGGGAGUACGGCCGCAAAGGCUG